RNAcentral lists this ribosomal RNA (564 nucleotides) under Colletotrichum gloeosporioides. Its description in RNAcentral is "LSU rRNA". It matches the Rfam family "Eukaryotic large subunit ribosomal RNA", at positions 1 to 574 of the family's 3401-position model. Lineage: Eukaryota; Fungi; Ascomycota; Sordariomycetes; Glomerellales; Glomerellaceae. The record is from RNAcentral.
GUUGACCUCGGAUCAGGUAGGAAUACCCGCUGAACUUAAGCAUAUCAAUAAGCGGAGGAAAAGAAACCAACAGGGAUUGCCUCAGUAACGGCGAGUGAAGCGGCAACAGCUCAAAUUUGAAAUCUGGCCCCAGGCCCGAGUUGUAAUUUGCAGAGGAUGCUUUUGGUGCGGUGCCUUCCAAGUUCCCUAGAACGGGACGCCAGAGAGGGUGAGAGCCCCGUACAGUUGGACACCAAGCCUUUGUAAAGCUCCUUCGACGAGUCGAGUAGUUUGGGAAUGCUGCUCAAAAUGGGAGGUAUAUUUCUUCUAAAGCUAAAUACCGGCCAGAGACCGAUAGCGCACAAGUAGAGUGAUCGAAAGAUGAAAAGCACUUUGAAAAGAGGGUUAAACAGCACGUGAAAUUGUUAAAAGGGAAGCGCUUGUGACCAGACUUGCGUCCGGUGAAUCACCCAGCUCUCGCGGCUGGGGCACUUCGCCGGCUCAGGCCAGCAUCAGCUCGCUGUCGGGGACAAAAGCUUCAGGAACGUAGCUCUCUUCGGGGAGUGUUAUAGCCUGUUGCACAAU